This is a long non-coding RNA of Oncorhynchus tshawytscha (Chinook salmon), 878 nucleotides long. Lineage: Eukaryota; Metazoa; Chordata; Actinopteri; Salmoniformes; Salmonidae. The record is from Ensembl.
CCCGAGUAGUGGUUAUUCCUCCAGCCAGCUGUGCACUGAACCAGCAGCCCCAGCCCACAACCACGGCAGCACGCUGGCUUGGCUGACUCAGAGACAGGAAGGGUUGGGCACAAUGGGACAGGUCCAGCAAAACAUGAGUAGGCCUGCAAACAACAGCUGUUGAAGUGCAGCCCAGAUAAUAACGCCAGAAUGAGCCUCCCCAAAAGGGUCUCACUCUGGACCGUGGUGGAUGUGUUUGACUGGGUCAAGGAGCAGUACCCCUACCAAAAGAGUGUCCUCCAAGUGGCCAUCUUCAAGCAUGACAUAUCCGGCCGAGCUCUGCUGAGGAUGGGUGAACACCAAUUGGAGAGGAUGGGGGUGGAGGUGGAGCAUCUUCAGGAGGUCCUACUGGACAUCCUUCUCCUCAGGGUCCAGGAGGAACUUGAGAACCUUAACGACAUCUUCUCUGGAAAUCCAGGCUGGGACUCCCUGCAGAAAGGCCAUGCAGUUUGACCAGGUGUUGGAAGCUGUGGAGCUGUGGCAGUGUCCAGGUUCUCCCAGGGAGUGUGAGAGAUGGGUGUCUGGAUCACGGGUGUUGGCCAGGGGUACCGCUGGGCUCUGUGCUGGCCCCAGUACUUUUCACUGAGCAGGAGAGAGACACGUGCCGUGGACUUGUCUGGUGGGGCCAGAUGGAAGUUGUCUGGCUACAGCUUUCAUCUUCCUAUGCUGCUGGGCAACCAUACAACUUGUAGUGUGUAAAGAGCUGCAUGGUAGGCUGCAUGAUUUUCACAAUUGAAAUUGACAAGCACCAUUGAAAGUAAAUAUCUACAGUAUCCUGUAUCUUCAUUUCAAACAUGGAAAAUGUCUCCUUGGAGAUGGCAUUUGUGUUCACAAACAGA